GAUGAAGAACGUAGCGAAAUGCGAUACUUGGUGUGAAUUGCAGACUCCCGUGAACCAUCGAGUCUUUGAACGCAAGUUGCGCCUCAAGCCAUUAGGUUGAGGGCACGUCUGCCUGGGCGUCACAUAUCGUUGCCUGAUGCCAGUUUCCUCGUGAUGGGUGACUGUGCAGGGCGAAUGAUGGCUUCCCGUGAGCAUUGUUGCCUCAUGGUUGGUUGAAAAUUGAGUCCUUGGUAGGGAGCGCCGUGAUAGAUGGUGGUUGAGUGACGAACGAGACCCAAUCAUGUGAGACCCCUACCGAAUUUGGCCUUCAUGACCCACAUGCGUCUUUGGAACGCUCAUGACGAGACCUCAGGUCAGGCGGGGCUACCCGCUGAGUUUAAGCAUAUCAAUAAGCGGAGGA
This 400-nucleotide unclassified non-coding RNA is filed under the name soil metagenome. Its description in RNAcentral is "partial contains 5.8S ribosomal RNA, internal transcribed spacer 2, and large subunit ribosomal RNA". The stretch from base 1 to 122 matches the Rfam family "5.8S ribosomal RNA", at positions 35 to 154 of the family's 154-position model. The record is from RNAcentral.